UAAACAUUGAGUUCUCACUUUCCAACCUCCAUUAACACGGCAACGAAUGAGUCGGCAUCAUCCCUAGCCACCUCCUCGGGCACUUUGUGUUUAAUUGCGUCAUGUCCUGGAGCGUUUCCAUGGUGAUCCGGGGGCGUCGCUGCCUCCAGGUUCCACUCAUUUCUACUUUUUUUUCCCUUUAAUUGUUGGUCACAUUUAGAAAAGCAAACAGUUGGGAUGCCCCCAGAGGCUUGAAAAUCAACCAAUAUUCAGCAGGAAUUAUCCGAGCUUCUGUGGAGGUCGGUCCUGGGAUCCACUUAUAGACUUGAUCCAAUUAGUUUAGCAGUUUGGAAUAAAGGCGGUGAGUCACAUCACUUCAGUCGCCGCCUUGUUCUGUCGCUGCAGAAACCCCUGAAGCCAUGGAGCAACAAACAGCCGCCGCUCUGUCUUCCCCUUUAAAAAACUCUCGCUUCAGUUUUCUUGUUCUAUUUUACACGAUUCAUUAUCCAUCACUCCCCCCGUAGUUUCUUUGCUGUCGUCCUGCUGACUUCGCCUCACUUUUUCCUGCUCGUCUUCAGGAAGUCAAGCUUUUCUGCCCCGUAGACGAAGACAAAGAGCCGCGAUAAUUCUGGUCAGGCAGAGCGGAGCGUGUGGACGGCUGGGCUCCUAACGGACGGAUCGCUCUGCCAGAGGAAGCAGCCGAGGUUUUGUUUCCUCGUUUCCGGCCUCGCAGAAUCGUAACACAAUGAAGUGAAAUGUGGAGACGUGGUCACUAAUCCAGUAACAUGUCCCAUCAUGCACUGCUUCCAAGAAGACGGAUCAGAAAGACAACGGAGGACUGGUGUCAUUUCCACAGAUUAAGACGUAUUUUGUAGAAUUAAAACGUAUUUUGUUGCUUUCAUGGUGUUGAGGUGCAUUUCUUUUUUAGAGUUAAUACUAAUUUUAUAGUAUCAAGAUAUAUUUUUACAGUAUUAGGUUAAGGUGUAUUUUCUACUGUUAAGACUUUUUAAAAUAAUAUUUGGACAUAUUUUCUAGUUUUAAGACUUAUUUUACAGCAUUUCUACUGUUAGGAUGCACUUUAAAGAGCCAAGACAUAUUUUAUAGCUUUAAGACAUUUUCUUUUAGUUUUAAGACAUAUUUUAUAGCAUUGAAAUCUUUUUUAACAAUACUGAGAUGUAUUUUUUAGAGAUAAUAUUUAUUUUAUAGUGUCAUGAUGCACUUUAUAGUGUUCAGACAUAUUUGAAUGGUAUUCGGACAUAUUUUAUGAAGUCAUAUUUUCUAUUGUUAAGACUUUUUAAAAUAAUGUUAAGAUGUAUUUUAUAGCACUUUAUAGAGCUGAGACAUAUUUCAUAGCAUUCAAGGCCUAUUUUUUUAGUGUUAAGAUGCAUUUUAUGGUAUUAAGACGUGAUUUAUAGCAUUUAGACAAAUUAAACAAAGUUUAGAUGUAUUUCUUAUGACUUUUUUAAUAAUGUUAAGAUAUAUUUUCUAGUUUUCAGACUUAUUUCACAGCAUUAAGUCAAAUUUUCUACUGUUAAGAUGCACUUUAAAGAGCUAAGAUGAAUUUGAC
Long non-coding RNA from Amphiprion ocellaris (clown anemonefish), 1546 nucleotides. The record is from Ensembl. Lineage: Eukaryota; Metazoa; Chordata; Actinopteri; Pomacentridae.